RNAcentral lists this ribosomal RNA (468 nucleotides) under uncultured bacterium. Its description in RNAcentral is "partial 16S ribosomal RNA". It matches the Rfam family "Bacterial small subunit ribosomal RNA", at positions 28 to 507 of the family's 1533-position model. The record is from RNAcentral.
GACGAACGCUGGCGGCGUGCUUAACACAUGCAAGUCGAACGGAAAGGCCCUGCUUUUGUGGGGUGCUCGAGUGGCGAACGGGUGAGUAACACGUGAGUAACCUGCCCUUGACUGUGGGAUAACUUCAGGAAACUGGGGCUAAUACCGGAUAGGAGCUCCUGCUGCACGGUGGGGGUUGGAAAGUUUCGGCGGUUGGGGAUGGACUCGCGGCUUAUCAGCUUGUUGGUGGGGUAGUGGCUUACCAAGGCUUUGACGGGUAGCCGGCCUGAGAGGGUGACCGGCGACAUUGGUACUGAGAUACGGCCCAGAAUCCUACGGGAGGCAGCAGUGGGGAAUAUUGCACAAUGGGCGGAAGCCUGAUGCAGCAACGCCGCGUGCGGGAUGACGGCCUUCGGGUUGUAAACCGCUUUCGCCUGUGACGAAGCGUGAGUGACGGUAAUGGGUAAAGAAGCACCGGCUAACUACGUG